CUAACACAUGCAAGUCGAGCGCCAAAACACUUCGGUGUGAGUAGAGCGGCGGACGGGUGAGUAACGCGUAAGAAUCUACCUAGUAGUGGGGGACAACUCGAGGAAACUCGAGCUAAUACCGCAUACGCCCUACGGGGGAAAGCGGGGGACCUUCGGGCCUCGCGCUAUUAGAUGAGCUUGCGUUGGAUUAGCUUGUUGGUGAGGUAAUGGCUCACCAAGGCUACGAUCCAUAGCUGGUCUGAGAGGAUGAUCAGCCACACCGGGACUGAGACACGGCCCGGACUCCUACGGGAGGCAGCAGUGGGGAAUAUUGCGCAAUGGGCGAAAGCCUGACGCAGCCAUGCCGCGUGUGUGAAGAAGGCCUUAGGGUUGUAAAGCACUUUCAAUUGGGAGGAAAAGUUAACGACUAAUACUCGUUAGCCUUGACGUUACCUUUAGAAGAAGCACCGGCUAACUCCGUGCCAGCAGCCGCGGUAAUACGGAGGGUGCAAGCGUUAAUCGGAAUUACUGGGCGUAAAGCGCGCGUAGGCSGCUUUUUAAGUCGGAUGUGAAAGCCCCGGGCUCAACCUGGGAACUGCAUCCGAUACUGGAAGGCUAGAGUGCGAGAGAGGAG
RNAcentral lists this ribosomal RNA (613 nucleotides) under uncultured Gammaproteobacteria bacterium. Its description in RNAcentral is "bacterial SSU rRNA". It matches the Rfam family "Bacterial small subunit ribosomal RNA", at positions 48 to 659 of the family's 1533-position model. The record is from RNAcentral. Lineage: Bacteria; Pseudomonadati; Pseudomonadota; Gammaproteobacteria.